AGAAAAAGAAAAAGAAAAAGAAAACUGAAAAUCUAAUCAAGAAGCUGUCGGAAAACACUUCUUGCCCGUGUACGAUCUUUAUAUCAACCACCUAUCUUCUCCUGCCUUCCUUUCAGCUUCCUCAUAACAUUAAUUCUGUGUCUUUUCUUCUUCUAUUAUGCUCAGAUUGGAGGAGACUAUACAUUGAUUCAUGUGCUUUGAUUUUGAUAAAUUCUUAACAGCUAUGUCGUCGAAUUCAG
RNAcentral lists this unclassified non-coding RNA (239 nucleotides) under Hevea brasiliensis (rubber tree). Lineage: Eukaryota; Viridiplantae; Streptophyta; Magnoliopsida; Malpighiales; Euphorbiaceae. The record is from RNAcentral.